UAGAGAGAGGGAGAGCAAGAACUCCCUUGAUUCAAUCCAUCAUAAAUUCCCCCAAAUCAAGAUCAAAUUAGAUGAUAAAGCUUUGCAUGAAUGAGGAUUCCUUAUCAUCUCAACCUAACAAACAUGUGGAUAUGAACAAUAUUAGCACGGACUUAAGCAUGGAGAGCUAACGGGUCAAGAGGAGGCAGGGAAGCGAAUUCGAAUACGGACGCAUAACGUUGUACGGAAUCACGGAUCAUCAUCACGAGGUGUAAACGGUCAAAGAUCUAGUCAUAAAAUAGAUUGUAUGGGGAAUGUGUGAUUAUGUAAUUUAGUAAACAUAAGUUAUGUUUUAUAUCCUAAAUGAGAACGAAGAAUGUAUUUAUUGUAAAAGAGUUAUUUUAAAAUGGA
Molecule: long non-coding RNA, 390 nt
Organism: Helianthus annuus (common sunflower)
Lineage: Eukaryota; Viridiplantae; Streptophyta; Magnoliopsida; Asterales; Asteraceae
Exons: 3
Source: RefSeq, a predicted model, not a curated record